RNAcentral lists this ribosomal RNA (918 nucleotides) under uncultured bacterium. RNAcentral's name for it is "bacterial SSU rRNA". It matches the Rfam family "Bacterial small subunit ribosomal RNA", at positions 33 to 942 of the family's 1533-position model. The record is from RNAcentral.
ACGCUGGCGGCAGGCUUAACACAUGCAAGUCGAACGGUAACAGGAAUUAGCUUGCUAAUUUGCUGACGAGUGGCGGACGGGUGAGUAAUGCUUGGGAAUCUGGCUUAUGGAGGGGGAUAACUACGGGAAACUGUAGCUAAUACCGCGUAAAAUCUUCGGAUUAAAGGGUGGGACUUUCGAGCCACCUGCCAUAAGAUGAGCCCAAGUGGGAUUAGGUAGUUGGUUAGGUAAAGGCUGACCAAGCCGACGAUCUCUAGCUGGUCUGAGAGGAUGACCAGCCACACUGGAACUGAGACACGGUCCAGACUCCUACGGGAGGCAGCAGUGGGGAAUAUUGCACAAUGGGGGGAACCCUGAUGCAGCCAUGCCGCGUGAAUGAAGAAGGCCUUCGGGUUGUAAAGUUCUCUCGGUGACGAGGAAGGUUGAUAGGUUAAUAGCCUAUCAAAUUGACGUUAAUCACAGAAGAAGCACCGGCUAACUCCGUGCCAGCAGCCGCGGUAAUACGGGGGGUGCGAGCGUUAAUCGGAAUAACUGGGCGUAAAGGGCACGCAGGCGGUGACUUAAGUGAGAUGUGAAAGCCCCGAGCUUAACUUGGGAAUUGCAUUUCAUACUGGGUCGCUAGAGUACUUUAGGGAGGGGUAGAAUUCCACGUGUAGCGGUGAAAUGCGUAGAGAUGUGGAGGAAUACCGAAGGCGAAGGCAGCCCCUUGGGAAUGUACUGACGCUCAUGUGCGAAAGCGUGGGGAGCAAACAGGAUUAGAUACCCUGGUAGUCCACGCUGUAAACGAUGUCGAUUUGGGGAUUGGGCUUUGAGCUUGGUGCCCGUAGCUAACGUGAUAAAUCGACCGCCUGGGGAGUACGGCCGCAAGGUUAAAACUCAAAUGAAUUGACGGGGGCCCGCACAAGCGGUGGAGCAUGU